AAAGUCCCGUCCGGGGAGUUAUCCGUUCACCCCGGUAGCUCAAGGGAGCGGCGUCUUGGUAACAAGGGGUCGUAAGUUUCCAAUUGGCAAACCAGCAGGCCGUAACGCAAGUGAACCUAUAAGUAGCCUCGUUAAACUAAUUUGGAGAUGCCGACCCUGUGGACACAAGGGGAAGGCCGACGCGCAAAGGCAGGGAUAACGGAUGUGGUUUGAGCGAUCUUCCGGGGUAGCAGGGUC
Molecule: non-coding RNA, 237 nt
Organism: Syntrophaceae bacterium CG2_30_49_12
Lineage: Bacteria; Pseudomonadati; Thermodesulfobacteriota; Syntrophia; Syntrophales; Syntrophaceae
Source: Rfam